This 635-nucleotide ribosomal RNA is filed under the name uncultured Actinomycetes bacterium. RNAcentral describes it as "bacterial SSU rRNA". It matches the Rfam family "Bacterial small subunit ribosomal RNA", at positions 234 to 885 of the family's 1533-position model. Lineage: Bacteria; Bacillati; Actinomycetota; Actinomycetes. The record is from RNAcentral.
CGCCUGGGGAGUACGGGUGAGGUAACGGCUCACCAAGGCAUCGACGGGUAGCUGGUCUGAGAGGAUGAUCAGCCACACUGGGACUGAGACACGGCCCAGACUCCUACGGGAGGCAGCAGUAGGGAAUAUUGCACAAUGGGCGAAAGCCUGAUGCAGCAACGCCGCGUGCGGGAAGAAGGCCCUAGGGUUGUAAACCGCUUUCAGCAGGGAAGAAAAUGAUGGUACCUGCAGAAGAAGGUGCGGCCAACUACGUGCCAGCAGCCGCGGUGACACGUAGGCACCAAGCGUUGUCCGGAUUUAUUGGGCGUAAAGAGCUCGUAGGCGGUUCAGUUAGUCGGGUGUGAAAACUCUGGGCUCAACCCAGAGACGCCACUCGAUACUGCUGUGACUAGAGUGCGGUAGGGGAGCGGGGAAUUCCUAGUGUAGCGGUGAAAUGCGCAGAUAUUAGGAGGAACACCAGUGGCGAAGGCGCCGCUCUGGGCCGUAACUGACGCUGAGGAGCGAAAGCGUGGGUAGCAAACAGGAUUAGAUACCCUGGUAGUCCACGCCGUAAACGUUGGGCACUAGGUGUGGGUCUCAACCAACGAGAUCCGCGCCGUCGCUAACGCAUUAAGUGCCCCGCCUGGGGAGUACGG